Molecule: unclassified non-coding RNA, 393 nt
Filed under: soil metagenome
Description: partial contains 5.8S ribosomal RNA, internal transcribed spacer 2, and large subunit ribosomal RNA
Rfam family: 5.8S ribosomal RNA (bases 1-122)
Source: RNAcentral
GAUGAAGAACGUAGCGAAAUGCGAUACUUGGUGUGAAUUGCAGAAUCCCGUGAACCAUCGAGUCUUUGAACGCAAGUUGCGCCCGAAGCCACUAGGCCGAGGGCACGCCUGCUUGGGCGUCACACGUCGUUGCCCCCCCCCCAUCUACUCCUUCGGGAUUGCGGGGGGCGGAUGAUGGCCUCCCGUGCGCCUAGCCGCGCGGUUGGCAUAAAUACCAAGUCCUCGGCGACGCACGCCACGACAAUCGGUGGUUGCGAAACCUCGGUUGCCCGUCGUGUGCGUUCGUCGCGCAUCGAGGGCUCGAAAAAAUGCUCGGCUCCGGCUCGGCUUUCAACGCGACCCCAGGUCAGGCGGGGUUACCCGCUGAAUUUAAGCAUAUCAAUAAGCGGAGGA